ACCUGGAAUAGCUCAGUCAGUAGAGCAUGAGGCUCUUAAUCACAGGGCCAUGGGUUCAAGCCUCAAGUUGGGGA
Podarcis lilfordi (Lilford's wall lizard) is the source of this 74-nucleotide non-coding RNA. The record is from the annotation of a GenBank genome assembly. NCBI's taxonomy places the organism in Eukaryota, Metazoa, Chordata, Lepidosauria, Squamata, Lacertidae.